AUAAUAAUAUAAUAAUAAUAAUAACAACAGAAAUUAAGAUAUGUAAGAGAUUGAUAGGCCGAAAGGUAGCCUCCAAUCCAAUGAUCACACAAAUGAAGUUUCAUAGGGGAACUCUCGAGUAUCUGUCACCACAAAUGCAAGAAUGUUGAAUCUUUGAGGAGCACAUGGCCACAGUAAUUGCAGCCUUUUCUUUGCUCUGUGCUCCCUGACUCUACAUCAUUACAUGUGGAAAAGGGUAUCCAUAUUUGCCAAUGCACCCUUGACAAGCCCACCAUCAAUUCCUGCGAACAAAGUGUCUAUUUGAACAAUUGGACUACUCUUGGCUCCUGUUUCUGGAGACCCAUCUUUUUCUUUGGCUUGUCAACCCACCAUAGGAAGAGAAUAGCCCUUUGCUUCUUGUCAGAAAAUCUGGAAAAACAUUUAUAGUGUUCCUCCACAGCAUCAAAGAACGUGAAUGUUUUCAAGUUCAAGUUCCUCUUGUCCAGGCUAAACACCCUGAAAGCAAUGGCAAUAUCAUUUCUCAAUUUUAUAAGAGCUGCUUCAAUAAUUGCUAUUGAAGAAGCUUUCUCAUCAUCCUUGUCAAUUAUCCCAGCUCUAGGAGCCUCUACCAAAUCAUGGUGUAUUAAUCCUCCUGCAUUAAUGGAUUUCACAGAGGAUCGCCUAUUUCUUCUAUUCGUGGUCAGAAGUAGAUCCAACGGUAGUGAAGCAGAACCAUCAAUACGCAGUGCAAUAAUCUGAUGGGAAGAUGGCGAAUCAAGAAAUGGAUGAUGUUGAGCAGCCAUGAUCAGACAAUAGGCAAGCUUUCUUCUUCCUCCGUCGGUUGUUGUUCUUCAGUUUCCA
This 840-nucleotide unclassified non-coding RNA is filed under the name Hevea brasiliensis (rubber tree). Lineage: Eukaryota; Viridiplantae; Streptophyta; Magnoliopsida; Malpighiales; Euphorbiaceae. The record is from RNAcentral.